RNAcentral lists this long non-coding RNA (344 nucleotides) under Olea europaea (common olive). RNAcentral's name for it is "long non-coding RNA (OEUR_LNC001848)". Lineage: Eukaryota; Viridiplantae; Streptophyta; Magnoliopsida; Lamiales; Oleaceae. The record is from RNAcentral.
UUGGAGAGUAUUUUAGAAGUGCUAACAAGUGAUUUUGGUGUUGUUUUGUAGAUUGAUGGAAGUGGAGAAAACAAGAGCUAAAAGAGGUCAAAGGAAGGAAAUAGGCAAAAGCUAGCGAAAUUGGAUGAAAUGACCAAAACGUAAGAGAUCCAAAGUUCGAGGAUUAAAAUGCAAUUAAUCAAAAGUCGUGUUGAAACUUGAAAUGAAGAUCCAAGAGUUCUAGAAUCCAAUUGGAUGAAGGAAGGUGUCAAAGGGAUCAAAUUUAGUCAAGAUAUGAUCAUAAAUCAUUUUCCAACCAAAAAGUUUUGCGCUGGAGUUUUGGUCUCACAUUUAGACUCAUUUUU